RNAcentral lists this transfer RNA (71 nucleotides) under Loxodonta africana (African savanna elephant). It matches the Rfam family "tRNA". From Rfam's summary of the family: Transfer RNA (tRNA) molecules are approximately 80 nucleotides in length. Their secondary structure includes four short double-helical elements and three loops (D, anti-codon, and T loops). Further hydrogen bonds mediate the characteristic L-shaped molecular structure. tRNAs have two regions of fundamental functional importance: the anti-codon, which is responsible for specific mRNA codon recognition, and the 3' end, to which the tRNAs corresponding amino acid is attached (by aminoacyl-tRNA synthetases). tRNAs cope with the degeneracy of the genetic code in two manners: having more than one tRNA (with a specific anti-codon) for a particular amino acid; and 'wobble' base-pairing, i.e. permitting non-standard base-pairing at the 3rd anti-codon position. Lineage: Eukaryota; Metazoa; Chordata; Mammalia; Proboscidea; Elephantidae. The record is from Rfam by way of RNAcentral.
GCAGUGGUUGUUUAGUGGCAGAAUUUUUGUUUUCAGCGCAGAAGUCCCGUGUUCAAUUUCCGGCCAAUGUA